RNA transcript from Sinocyclocheilus grahami, 1246 nucleotides. RefSeq lists it as uncharacterized. The transcript has 2 exons. Lineage: Eukaryota; Metazoa; Chordata; Actinopteri; Cypriniformes; Cyprinidae. The record is from RefSeq and is a predicted model, not a curated record.
CCAAAAAAAUUGGAUAUGGUGAAAAGAUCGGAUCUGUGCAUUAAGACUUACAGUGUAAACGCAGCCUGAGUCGAGUCUCUAGUCAUUUAAUGGCUCGCUAAAAUAAUUCCAUUCAGAAUCCUCAUGUUUUGAAAUCUUCCUAUUUACGAAGCUGUUUAGACAAACUAUAAUAUAAUAUAUUUUUAUUAAUAAUGUAUGAUAUGACUUAAUAAUGAGGCGGUUUCUCGGACAGGGUUUAAAUUAAGACAGGAGUAGGCCUUAAUCUAGAAUACUUAAUCAUGGCUUUAAAAAUGCCUUUCUGAUUCACAGAUUAAGUACAGAUUACUAACACCUGGACUAUGGAGUCCUGAACUAAAAUAAACUUGAUUCAUUUAAAACCACCUGUGCAAAUCUGAACUAGCUGAAUUGAGGUUGCCUAUAAAACAUGGACUGAACCAAGAAAAGUUUAGAAUUGUAUGCAACUGAAAAGCAAAUGGCAAUGACAGCUGAAAAGAGAGUGCGAUCAAAGAACUUUUCUGAACACGAGAAAAGUAUUAUAAAGCAAAUAGUUUCAAGACCUCCUGUUACUGAAGAUAAACUGCGCACAUCAGCUGUUGAAUCAAAGAAAAGGGAUGCCUGGAAAUCUAUUUGUAAUGAAUUUAAUGCAAAUCAACACAUCUACAAGAACAAUACAACAACUUCAGGUAAGAAUAAUCAGCUUUAUUAUGUGGCUUUUUUUCAUCACUGUUGUCAUUAUUUAAUACAGGUUUUGUGGAAGAAUAUAAAAAUAAACCUAAAAAAACUGCUGCUGAAGCUCGAAGAGAGAGGUUUAAGACUGGUGGAGGACCUGCAAAUAAAGACUGUGACGAGUUGGAUGAGUUACUGACAGGAAUAAUGGAGAACCAGCAGCCUUUGGAGAACAUACCAGAUGACGACCAUCUAGAUAGUUCAGAUGAUGGAUCACACACACCUAAGAGAAGGUCAGAACAGAACUGAAGAGAUGGAAGGCAGUUUACCCUCCACAUCCUCAGGAGCAAGGGUGGCAAUGUCUGCCAGUACUGGUCACCGGAAGAAAAGACUCCCUGUCCAUGAAAGGUUGGCUAAUGAAUUCCAUGAACACAAGUUGAAGUAUCUUAAGGAGGAGCAUGAAAUUAAGAUGAAGAUACUACAAGAAGAACUGGAGAUGAAGAUGGAGGAGAGAGAUGCAGCAGGCUCAAAAUGUCACAUCUAUACAUGAAUCUGUGAAAUAAAUAUUGUUUUAUUAAGU